GACGAACGCUGGCGGCGUGCUUAACACAUGCAAGUCGAACGCUGAAGCUUGGUGCUUGCACUGGGUGGAUGAGUGGCGAACGGGUGAGUAAUACGUGAGUAACCUGCCCUUGACUCUGGGAUAAGCCUGGGAAACUGGGUCCAAUACUGGAUGCGACAUGUCACCGCAUGGUGGUGUGUGGAAAGGGUUUUACUGGUUUUGGAUGGGCUCACGGCCUAUCAGCUUGUUGGUGGGGUAAUGGCUCACCAAGGCGACGACGGGUAGCCGGCCUGAGAGGGUGACCGGCCACACUGGGACUGAGACACGGCCCAGACUCCGACGGGAGGCAGCAGUGGGGAAUAUUGCACGAUGGGCGGAAGCCUGAUGCAGCGACGCCGCGUGAGGGAUGACGGCCUUCGGGUUGUAAACCUCUUUCAGCACGGAAGAAGCGAAAGUGACGGUACGUGCAGAAGAAGCACCGGCUAACUACGUGC
RNAcentral lists this ribosomal RNA (473 nucleotides) under uncultured bacterium. RNAcentral describes it as "partial 16S ribosomal RNA". It matches the Rfam family "Bacterial small subunit ribosomal RNA", at positions 28 to 508 of the family's 1533-position model. The record is from RNAcentral.